This is a small nucleolar RNA of Plectropomus leopardus (leopard coralgrouper), 94 nucleotides long. RefSeq annotates it as small nucleolar RNA U83B. The record is from RefSeq and is a predicted model, not a curated record. NCBI's taxonomy places the organism in Eukaryota, Metazoa, Chordata, Actinopteri, Perciformes, Serranidae.
GUCUGUCGGUGAUGAGGCUACGGAUCUUGCGUCAGGCAUGGCGCCCGACAUCUAUGAGGAUAUCUUCCAUGCUGCCUUCCUUCUGAGACUGCAC